This 1268-nucleotide long non-coding RNA is filed under the name Heterocephalus glaber (naked mole-rat). RNAcentral's name for it is "lncRNA (ENSHGLG00100050835.1)". The record is from RNAcentral. Lineage: Eukaryota; Metazoa; Chordata; Mammalia; Rodentia; Bathyergidae.
CCAAUCUGCACCCUUUCAUGGCUUCUUUACUGCUUUGCACACUGAGAGAAAAGUAGCCCCAACUCAUAGGAUUUUGUGAGUUGAAUGCGUUAGUGAAUGUGAAUGAGUCCGUCUUCCUGAAGCAUACUAAAUACCGUCGAGGUGCUUCUCGCUGAUGUUCACUGCACUCAGCGUUCUCCGGGUAACACUCAGCUGUUCUUCAACCACGGUCUGCGCUUGCGUUGUGCCUCCUCAGGUCCUGAGUCCCUCCCGGGAGAGGCCGGCGGGAAGGCUAACCGUGGCACUCACGUGACUGAGGACGCGGAGCCGGCCCUGCAGAACAUUACCGGAAGUGGUCGGCGGCUUCCGGUCUCCAGUACUAGGAUGGAACCCAGGCCUUCACACAGAGCUGCAUCCCUCGUCCCUACCCCUAUCCCCCAGUCUUUUUAAACUUUGAGAGAGUAUCUCACUGAAUCAGUUGCCCAGGCUGGGCUUCACCUUGCAAUCCUCCUGUCUCAGCCUGCCAGAGUGCUGGUCCACAGUUUGAAGAAUCAGCCCACAGCCUUUCCUGACCCCAGGAGUGUGUCAUUUCUGUACUACUCUACCCUUCGGGAUUGAACUCAGGACCUCGUGCUUGUGAGGCAGGCAUGGUGCCACUGAGAUGCUGGCAAUUCUUAGCUCGUUCUAUGCGAGAGUCUGGAAUCUCUGCUGGACCCAACACAUGGUAUCAUUUGGCGAGCUAGUCAGGAGACAUCAGCAGCCAGAAGCAGCCCAGCCAGAAAGGAAGGGUAAAACCCAAGCUGCCUGAGACACCAGAAAAUGAAAAAGAGAGAACACAAACCUUGAACACCUGUGAGCCAUGGAACGACCUCAAGUUUCCUUUCAGAAAAGAAAACACCAACCAACCUGUUCAGCCACAUAGGUGAAAGUUGGGUUGUUCCCUUCCCACAACCUUACCAAGGAGUCUCAGUUGGAAUCCUGCUGCACAUACACAGCUGUCUUAGCAAGAAGUCUCAGAGCAUCAUUCGCUCUGCUCUCCCAGCCUGAUAAGGUGCACUCACAGAGGGAGUGAGAGUAUUCCAACAUCAGGUCUCAGUGAACUUUGGAGACAGAAUGAAUUUGCAAAAUCCAGCAGUAUUUCCUUCAUAUUGGUGAACCAGGUCUCUGCCUUCAGCCCAGGACUUUAGAGAGCCUCGAGUAUCAGAAACACAUAAAAAAAUACAUUUAUGAGGGAACAAAUGGCCCCUCUACCACUUGGGACCCAGCAGUCGGAGUUGGCAUUGUGUGAG